Non-coding RNA from Peromyscus maniculatus bairdii (prairie deer mouse), 811 nucleotides. Lineage: Eukaryota; Metazoa; Chordata; Mammalia; Rodentia; Cricetidae. The record is from RefSeq and is a predicted model, not a curated record.
CCAAAGCCCAUGGAUUACAUCAGCGUCCAUUCGACGGAUUUGGAGAAACGUGUGACACACUCCACAACUGAAGAAUCACCCAGGUAGUUUCUGCGCCCCGAAGAUCCUCCGCGCCCUGCCUAUUCAUCCUCGCCUCCACCUGACUCCACAACCAUUUAUUUUUCCUUAAUUCUCCAAUUUUGCCAAAUCUUCCUGGCAUGGUCUUUUAAAGUUGGCUUCUUUUUACCCCAGAGCAUAGAUUCUCUUUUUCAAGAUACAACGCCCGCCCCCAGCCCUUUUGUGCAGAUGUGGUGGUGUGGGAGGGAACGCACACAACCCGGCCUCUGGGACGGACUUCCUGAGUCUUGAUUCCCCAUCUGCUAAGCGAGGAUCACAGCAGCACCUGCCCCUCUGACUUGACCGCGGUGCCGUGAGGUCCAGGAUUUUCUAGAAGAUGAGUGCGAGCCAAGCAGUUUCCUUUGGAGCACCCGAAGGCACUCCUCUCUUAUUCUGAACCUGGUUCUGUGGGCCAUGAUGUCUGCACAGUGUCGGCGGAGUGCCGCUUCCUUCAGAAACCGGUCAAUGGGAGGUCUCGGAAUGAGAAGAUUCCCUUGUCCAUUCCACACCCUCACAAUGUCCUAGUCUCAGCUAACAAAACACCGAGUCCUGUUAGCGUGCAGCCAUGAUGGAGCAUGCACUUUGAGAACUUCCCACUGUCCCACGUGUUCUCUGUGGCCACUGAGUUACACAGUACACCAUUUUCUUGAACUUAUUCCCUCUGAUGAGCUGAAAUUUUUCUAUCUCUUGACCAAUUAAAAUUGAAAUAACAAAA